Molecule: non-coding RNA, 72 nt
Organism: Fukomys damarensis (Damara mole-rat)
Lineage: Eukaryota; Metazoa; Chordata; Mammalia; Rodentia; Bathyergidae
Source: Rfam
GCAGAUGUAGCUCAGUGGUAGAGCACUCACCUAGCAGGUGGAAGGCCUUGGGCUCAAACCCCAACAUCAGAA